GCGCCNCUAACAUGCAAGUCGAACGGAGUUAUCAAUAGUGAAGCGAGUAGUUUACUAUGAGUGGAACAGUUGAUAACUUAGUGGCGGACGGGUGAGUAACGCGUGGGUAACCUGCCUCAUACAGGGGGAUAACACUUAGAAAUAGGUGCUAAUACCGCAUAAGCGCACAGGACCGCAUGGUCUGGUGUGAAAAAGAUUUCUGGUAUGAGAUGGACCCGCGUCUGAUUAGCUAGUUGGUAGGGUAACGGCCUACCAAGGCGACGAUCAGUAGCCGGCCUGAGAGGGUGUACGGCCACAUUGGGACUGAGACACGGCCCAAACUCCUACGGGAGGCAGCAGUGGGGAAUAUUGCACAAUGGGGGAAACCCUGAUGCAGCGACGCCGCGUGAGUGAAGAAGUAUUUCGGUAUGUAAAGCUCUACCAGCAGGAAAGAAAAUGACGGUACCUGACUAAGAAGCCCCGGCUAACUACGUGCCAGCAGCCGCGGUAAUACGUAGGGGGCAAGCGUUAUCCGGAUUUACUGGGUGUAAAGGGAGCGUAGACGGUGAAGCAAGUCUGGAGUGAAAACCCGGGGCUCAACCCCGGGAGUGCUUUGGAAACUGUUUGACUGGAGUGCAGGAGAGGUAAGUGGAAUUCCUAGUGUAGCGGUGAAAUGCGUAGAUAUUAGGAGGAACACCGGUGGCGAAGGCGGCUUACUGGACUGUAACUGACGUUGAGGCUCGAAAGCGUGGGGAGCAAACAGGAUUAGAUACCCCUGGUAGUCCACGCUGUAAACGAUGAUUACUAGGUGUCUGGGGUUUAUAAACCUUAGGUGCCGCAGCAAACGCNAUAAGUAAUCCACCUGGGGAGUACGUUCGCAAGAAUGAAACUCAAAGGAAAUUGACGGGGAACCNCCACAGCCGGUGGANCNUGUGGUUUAAUUCCAANGCAACNCGAAAANCCUUACCUGAUCUUGACAUCCCCCUGACGGCCGGUAAGCGCCCUUUCCUUCGGACCGGGAAAACGGUGGUGCAUGGUUGUCCUC
RNAcentral lists this ribosomal RNA (1024 nucleotides) under uncultured bacterium. RNAcentral describes it as "bacterial SSU rRNA". It matches the Rfam family "Bacterial small subunit ribosomal RNA", at positions 44 to 1056 of the family's 1533-position model. The record is from RNAcentral.